This 210-nucleotide long non-coding RNA is filed under the name Manihot esculenta (cassava). Its description in RNAcentral is "long non-coding RNA (MESC_LNC012720)". The record is from RNAcentral. Lineage: Eukaryota; Viridiplantae; Streptophyta; Magnoliopsida; Malpighiales; Euphorbiaceae.
ACUUUAUGAGUUGAGAAACAUGUUUUAAAUAUGAAACUUGUUGAAGUGAACUUUGGUGAGUUAAGCUAUUUCUGCUAUCAUCCUAUUGCAUGACAAUUUGGUUCUUUGCUUUGGACAAAUUAAAUUUCAGAUUGGUUGAGGACAGGGCUGUAUUUCAUUGUUUCAUUUCAAUUUUUGUGCUUGAGGACAAGCAAAGGUGCAAGUGUGGGG